AGCCACAUGACUUUCUGGCUACAUUGCUGCCCUUCAUCUGAACUUUGGCUUAGAUAGUCAUAGGCAGUCCUAGACCAGUGCAACACAUGCUGUUGUACAGGGGUGCUUCCUUGUCUCUAGGUUGGCUAAUGUCUCCAUUCCUACUGCCCAGUGCUGAAGUGGGGAACUAAUGCGCUACCUGCUAAUGAAAAACAGUCCCUUUUUAUACAAUCCCUGCGAUGGGUGAGGCACUGCUGCUAGAGGGCAUUUGGGAAUUGAAUCCAGCUAGCAAACAAACUCUAGUCCCACAAAUAUAAUGCGACUCGGCCUGCACUGAGUAUGACCAGAGGUAUACUGAAAUUGUUUCAUAGUCUCCCAGAGCUUGGAAGAGUACAAAAACAAUCAUAAGUGGGGAUUUCUAUGAUGCCUGGAUCUGUUCUGGCUCCUACAGCAGUGAUAUAAAUGCUUGCAAUGCCUGCGCAUACUGUGAAUAUAUCUGACUUCUGGCACUGCCUUGGCACAACCAGGACUUAUUGGAUUCCCUGAUGCUAGACAGCUAAGUGCAUCCAUGAUAUGAUGAUAAAUCAGGAAGACUACAUGAUUUGAAAUUUAACAGC
Molecule: long non-coding RNA, 596 nt
Organism: Alligator sinensis (Chinese alligator)
Lineage: Eukaryota; Metazoa; Chordata; Crocodylia; Alligatoridae
Exons: 4
Source: RefSeq, a predicted model, not a curated record